RNAcentral lists this ribosomal RNA (253 nucleotides) under uncultured bacterium. RNAcentral describes it as "partial 16S ribosomal RNA". It matches the Rfam family "Bacterial small subunit ribosomal RNA", at positions 524 to 776 of the family's 1533-position model. The record is from RNAcentral.
CACGAACCUGACGAACGUUAUUCGGAAUUAUUGGGCUUAAAGGGUGCGUAGGCGGUUCGGUAGGUGGGGUGUGAAAUUCCUCGGCUUAAACGAGGAAUUGCGCCCCAAACCACCAGGCUAGAGGGAGACAGAGGAAAGCGGAACUGAUGGUGGAGCGGUGAAAUGCGUUGAUAUCAUCAGGAACACCGGUGGCGAAAGCGGCUUACUGGGUCUCUUCUGACGCUGAGGCACGAAAGCUAGGGUAGCGAACGGG